RNAcentral lists this ribosomal RNA (362 nucleotides) under uncultured bacterium. RNAcentral describes it as "bacterial SSU rRNA". It matches the Rfam family "Bacterial small subunit ribosomal RNA", at positions 29 to 389 of the family's 1533-position model. The record is from RNAcentral.
AAUUAACGCUGGCGGCGUGCCUCAGACAUGCAAGUCGAACGAUUAAAGCUCUCUUCGGAGAGUGUAUAGAGUGGCGCACGGGUGAGUAACACGUAAGUAAUCUACCCUCGAGUGGGGAAUAACAACCGGAAACGGUUGCUAAUACCGCAUAAUGCAGCGGCACCGCAAGGUGACAGUUGUUAAAGAUUUAUCGCUUGAGGAGGAGCUUGCGGCAGAUUAGCUAGUUGGUAGGGUAACGGCUUACCAAGGCUACGAUCUGUAACCGGUCUAAGAGGACGUCGGUCACACUGACACUGAAUAACGGGUCAGACUCCUACGGGAGGCAGCAGUCGGGAAUUUGGCAAUGGGCGAAAGCCUGACCC